GCUUAUCAAUAAGCGGAGGAAAAGAAACCAACAGAGAUUGCCCUAGUAACGGCGAGUGAAGCGGCAACAGCUCAAAUUUGAAAUCUGGCUCUUUCAGAGUCCGAGUUGUAAUUUGCAGAGGGCGCUUUGGCUUUGGCAGCGGUCCAAGUUCCUUGGAACAGGACGUCACAGAGGGUGAGAAUCCCGUACGUGGUCGCUAGCUAUUGCCGUGUAAAGCCCCUUCGACGAGUCGAGUUGUUUGGGAAUGCAGCUCUAAAUGGGAGGUAAAUUUCUUCUAAAGCUAAAUAUUGGCCAGAGACCGAUAGCGCACAAGUAGAGUGAUCGAAAGAUGAAAAGCACUUUGGAAAGAGAGUCAAACAGCACGUGAAAUUGUUGAAAGGGAAGCGCUUGCAGCCAGACUUGCUUGCAGUUGCUCAUCCGGGCUUUUGCCCGGUGCACUCUUCUGCAGGCAGGCCAGCAUCAGUUUGGGCGGUGGGAUAAAGGUCUCUGUCACGUACCUUCCUUCGGGUUGGCCUUAUAGGGGAGACGCCAUACCACCAGCCUGGACUGAGGUCCGCGCAUCUGCUAGGAUGCUGGCGUAAUGGCUGUAAGCGGCCCGUCUUGAAACACGGACCAAGGAGUCUAACAUCUAUGCGAGUGUUUGGGUGUCAAGCCCGAGCGCGUAAUGAAAGUGAACGGAGGUGGGAACCCGCAAGGGUGCACCAUCGACCGAUCCUGAAGUUUACGGAAGGAUUUGAGUAAGAGCAUGGCUGUUGGGACCCGAAAGAUGGUGAACUAUGCUUGAAUAGGGUGAAGCCAGAGGAAACUCUGGUGGAGGCUCGCAGCGGUUCUGACGUGCAAAUCGAUCGUCAAAUUUGGGCAUAGGGGCGAAAGACUAAUCGAACUAUCUAGUAGCUGCUGCUGC
RNAcentral lists this ribosomal RNA (904 nucleotides) under Curvularia spicifera. Its description in RNAcentral is "LSU rRNA". It matches the Rfam family "Eukaryotic large subunit ribosomal RNA", at positions 38 to 961 of the family's 3401-position model. Lineage: Eukaryota; Fungi; Ascomycota; Dothideomycetes; Pleosporales; Pleosporaceae. The record is from RNAcentral.